ACAAUUGUAUUAUAAAUAAGGGAAAGCGUGUUCGAUGGAUUGGGUUGAGGAAGAAGAAGCAAGGGCAAGGGCAAGGGCAAGAGCAAGUGGGUAACCCAAACGCCACAAACCCUCUCCUCUCUUAUCUUCAAUUUGAAUACUCAAAAACAAUUUUAUCGGUGAUACGACGACGACACAUGGGCAGACCUCCCCUCCACCGCAACGCACUCACCUUCAGACCUACUCCCACCAUCAAGUUCCUCUGCAGCUACGGCGGCAAGAUCCUCCCUCGUUAUCCCGACGGCAAACUCCGUUAUCACGGUGGCGAAACUCGCCUUCUUUCUGUCAACCGCUCCAUUUCCUUCUCUGAACUGCUGUUGAAGUUCGGGGAGCUCUGCGGAACCUCAAUUUCUGUGACCUUCCGUUGCCAGUUGCCUAGAGAAGACCUCGAUGCUCUAGUUUCCGUUACCUCCGAUGAAGAUCUCGCGAAUCUCAUCGAGGAAUACGAUCGAGCGGCUUCCCCUUCCUCGUCGUUGAAGAUCAGAGCGUUCCUUUCGCCUCCCAAAUAUGGCAAAAGAAUAUCGCCUCCUUCUUCAAUGACUUCCUUCUCCUCCUCGGUGGCUCACCGUUGUUUUCGUCGGAUGUCACCACCAAAUGCUUCCUACUUGGAGAGAUCUGCAUCUUCGGUUCCUUUUGGUGUAUAUAAUAUUCAGGGAAGUUGUGCUUCUAGUCACAUGUUCCUUCACAGUGGUAACAGCUGGGAAUAACACCAACUCUUCCAACAGAAGAACAACCGGAUUUGUCAAACCCAAUACCAAACCACUUGAGCUAUACAUAUUAUUUACAAAAAAAAAGAGAAUUAAAAUUAGAAGUACUCAAAAAGAGAUGCCAAUACAAUGACUUUCGGCACCAAAAGAUUUUCAAGGUUGGACUCGGAGAUUAAAGCUGCGGUAGAGACCAAUGAUUUUUCUUAAGUCAUUGCUGCGGCUGGAGAAGCUGAAACACACAAGAGAGGGUCCAUAUCCCAUGGUGGGGUGAUAGCUUUUUGGAAUCUUAAUCAACUGGACAUGGUAUAUCAGUAUCUGAAAUAAAUUUAUUCAAGAUUUGAAAUAAAAUCAUCCAACCAGACAAAA
This is an RNA transcript of Cucumis melo (muskmelon), 1112 nucleotides long. RefSeq lists it as uncharacterized. NCBI's taxonomy places the organism in Eukaryota, Viridiplantae, Streptophyta, Magnoliopsida, Cucurbitales, Cucurbitaceae. The transcript is spliced from 4 exons. The record is from RefSeq and is a predicted model, not a curated record.